RNAcentral lists this unclassified non-coding RNA (1357 nucleotides) under Hevea brasiliensis (rubber tree). The record is from RNAcentral. Lineage: Eukaryota; Viridiplantae; Streptophyta; Magnoliopsida; Malpighiales; Euphorbiaceae.
AUAAACAACUGUUUAAUAAUAAAUAAUUUUUCUUAUUAAGGAAGAGAGCAAAGAGCAAGCAACACUGGCUGAGGAAAGCAAUGUGCAUACAUCACAACAUUUCUUAAAAGAAUAAACCAAUAACAAUGUGCAGAACCCUCAACGCUUAACCAGUCCCAGAACAAGGACUUGGAUCUUACAACUCCAUGGUAAAAAGCAAGAAAACCAGAAGGAAUAACAGGGCAUUAAAUCCUCCAUGAGAACCUCCAAUUUAAGAGUGACUGAAGCUAGUGGCAAUAGGAAUGACAAUCACAAGAAUAAUCAACAACAAAAGUAUAACACCAAUGCACAUCCACUUCCUGCUGCUUCUCUGAUAGUCUUUAGCACUCUUAAGCUCUUUGGCACCAUCCUUCACAUAGUGGUUAGCAUUCAACACAUGGUGCUCAAUAUCAUCCAACUGCUCCCCUUGCGCCUCCACCAUUACUGCCAUGUCCAAGAACACCUGGUGCAGCUCCAACAAGCUCUUCUCAAUCUCUUUCGCUGAAUCAUGCCUAUCCUGUAUCUCCACUACUGUCUCCAAUACCUUCCCUUUCCCAUGCUCCUGUAUUGCACGUUUCAAAAACUCCUCACCUCCAUUGUCAUCAGAUAUAAUAUUUUCAAUGAUCUCCUCAUCUGGGUACUCCCCAGUCACUGUAAAAUAUCUCCUCUCAACAAUUUCUUUGUACUCGGUCAUCAUUUUCUGCCUUAACCCUUGAAAAUCCAUCAUAAGCUCCUUCAACUUCUUGCGCAAACCAUUGGUGACUGCAAGUCUAGUUCUAUAAAUUGGGGUUCCUUCUUUAUACCCAGAGAGGCGCCUGUUAGCUGCAUUGGCACGGUCCAUUUCUUCGAGCUGAGAUCUGAUGGCUCUAGCCUUUUUGAGGACAGUAACAAUGUCUGUAUUGAUCUUGUUGCGCAGCGAUUUUAAGGCCUCAGGUUUGUGUAAGGAUUUGCUUUCUUCGUUGGAUUCUUGGAGACGGACUAGAAUUUCACGGAUUGAUCCCAUUUCUUUCUUGACAUUCUCAGCUUCUUCAAGGAAUAGGCCAAGGUUACGAUCCAUGGUGUUUGAUGCGUUUGCCAUCUCUAUAUCAGGACCAGCUUCCAGGUCUUUCAUGGCCUCUUUCUUCAGGUCCACAUAGCUGAUGAAGGAUUUGGUCAUUAGAUCGUUCAUCUUUACUUAUCAGACCUUUUUCAACUAGUGAAUAACAGCAGCAGUUGCUUAGAUAUGGAAAUGGAAAGUGGGUUUAUGAACAGAGAUUUGAAGAUGGAAAACAAGGAGAUGAUCUUGGAUUUUGAUUUUCUGAUAUGGAAACACAAGCUCAGCUUGUGAACUAGAAUUUUU